GGUGUAUAGCUCAGUGAUAAAGCAUUCAGCUGCAGAUUGAAGGGUCUCCAGUUCAAACCCGGGUGUCACCU
This is a non-coding RNA of Trichonephila inaurata madagascariensis, 71 nucleotides long. Lineage: Eukaryota; Metazoa; Arthropoda; Arachnida; Araneae; Nephilidae. The record is from the annotation of a GenBank genome assembly.